This 392-nucleotide ribosomal RNA is filed under the name uncultured bacterium. Its description in RNAcentral is "bacterial SSU rRNA". It matches the Rfam family "Bacterial small subunit ribosomal RNA", at positions 28 to 417 of the family's 1533-position model. The record is from RNAcentral.
GAUGAACGCUAGCGGAAGGCCUAAUACAUGCAAGUCGAACGGGCAUAUUGAUUUCGGUUGAUAUGUUAGUGGCGCACGGGUGAGUAACGCGUACACAACCUGCCUUAUAUUGGGGGAUAGCCUUGGGAAACUGGGAGUAAUACCGCAUAAUAUUAUUGAGAGGCAUCUUUUGAUAAUUAAAGCUGAGGCGAUAUAAGAUGGGUGUGCGUCUGAUUAGGUAGUUGGUAGGGUAACGGCCUACCAAGCCGACGAUCAGUAGGGGGUGUGAGAGGCAUGGCCCCCCACACGGGUACCUGAGACACGGACCAGACUCCUACGGGAGGCAGCAGUGAGGAAUAUUGGACAAUGGGCGCAAGCCUGAUCCAGCCAUGCCGCGUGCAGGAUGAAGGCCC